UACGAAGGGGGCUAGCGUUGCUCGGAAUCACUGGGCGUAAAGCGCACGUAGGCGGCUUUUUAAGUCAGGGGUGAAAUCCUGGAGCUCAACUCCAGAACUGCCUUUGAUACUGGGAAGCUUGAGUCCGGGAGAGGUGAGUGGAACUCCGAGUGUAGAGGUGAAAUUCGUAGAUAUUGGGAAGAACACCGGUGGCGAAGGCGGCUCACUGGCCCGUUUCUGACGCUGCAGCGCGAAAGCGUGGGGAUCAAACAGG
This 253-nucleotide ribosomal RNA is filed under the name uncultured bacterium. RNAcentral describes it as "partial 16S ribosomal RNA". It matches the Rfam family "Bacterial small subunit ribosomal RNA", at positions 524 to 776 of the family's 1533-position model. The record is from RNAcentral.